This 423-nucleotide ribosomal RNA is filed under the name uncultured bacterium. Its description in RNAcentral is "bacterial SSU rRNA". It matches the Rfam family "Bacterial small subunit ribosomal RNA", at positions 207 to 622 of the family's 1533-position model. The record is from RNAcentral.
AAGACCUUGCGCUUUUGGAGCGGCCGAUGUCUGAUUAGCUAGUUGGUGGGGUAAUGGCCUACCAAAGCUUCGAUCAGUAGCUGGUCUGAGAGGACGGCCAGCCACACUGGGACUGAGACACGGCCCAGACUCCUACGGGAGGCAGCAGUGGGGAAUUUUGGACAAUGGGCGCAAGCCUGAUCCAGCCAUGCCGCGUGAGUGAAGAAGGCCUUCGGGUUGCAAAGCUCUUUCAGCCGGGAAGAGAAGGCUGCGACUAAUAAUCGCAGUUCAUGACGGUACCGGAAGAAGAAGCACCGGCUAACUACGUGCCAGCAGCCGCGGUAAUACGUAGGGUGCGAGCGUUAAUCGGAAUUACUGGGCGUAAAGGGUGCGCAGGCGGUUUUGUAAGUCAGAUGUGAAAUCCCCGGGCUUAACCUGGGAACU